This 459-nucleotide ribosomal RNA is filed under the name uncultured bacterium. RNAcentral describes it as "partial 16S ribosomal RNA". It matches the Rfam family "Bacterial small subunit ribosomal RNA", at positions 29 to 523 of the family's 1533-position model. The record is from RNAcentral.
AACGAACGCUGGCGGCAGGCCUAUCACAUGCAAGUCGAACGUGAAGCCACCUUCGGGUGGUGGAAAGUGGCAGACGGGUGAGUAACGCGUGGGAACGUGCCCUUCGGUUCGGGAUAACCCAGGGAAACUUGGGCUAAUACCGGAUACGCCCUUCGGGGGAAAGAUUCAUUGCCGAAGGAUCGGCCCGCGUCGGAUUAGCUAGUUGGUGGGGUAAUGGCCCACCAAGGCGACGAUCCGUAGCUGGUCUGAGAGGAUGACCAGCCACACUGGGACUGAGACAAGGCCCAGACUCCUACGGGAGGCAGCAGUGGGGAAUAUUGGACAAUGGGCGCAAGCCUGAUCCAGCCAUGCCGCGUGGGUGAAGAAGGCCUUAGGGUUGUAAACCCCUUUCAGCGGGGAAGAUAAUGACGGUACCCGCAGAAGAAGUCCCGGCUAACUCCGUGCCAGCCGCCGCAGUAA